RNAcentral lists this ribosomal RNA (440 nucleotides) under uncultured bacterium. Its description in RNAcentral is "partial 16S ribosomal RNA". It matches the Rfam family "Bacterial small subunit ribosomal RNA", at positions 338 to 795 of the family's 1533-position model. The record is from RNAcentral.
CCUACGGGUGGCAGCAGUUGGGAAUCUUGGACAAUGGGGGGAACCCUGACGCAGCGACGCCGCGUGAGUGAAGAAGUAUUUCGGUAUGUAAAGCUCUAUCAGCAGGGAAGAAAAUGACGGUACCUGACUAAGCAGCCCCGGCUAACUACGUGCCAGCAGCCGCGGUAAUACGUCGGGGGAAAGCGUUAUCCGGUUUUACUGGGUGUAAAGGGAGCGUAGACGGUGCAGCAAGUCUGAUGUGAAAGGUCGGGGCCCAACCCCGGGGCGGCAUUGGAAACUGUUGAACUGGAGUACAGGAGAGGUAAGCGGAAUUCCUAGUGUAGCGGUGAAAUGCGUAGAGAUUAGGAGGAACACCAGUGGCGAAGGCGACUUACUGGACUGUAACUGACGUUGAGGCGCGAAAGCGUGGGGAGCAAACAGGAUUAGAUACCCGAGUAGUC